RNAcentral lists this ribosomal RNA (253 nucleotides) under uncultured bacterium. Its description in RNAcentral is "partial 16S ribosomal RNA". It matches the Rfam family "Bacterial small subunit ribosomal RNA", at positions 524 to 776 of the family's 1533-position model. The record is from RNAcentral.
UACGUAGGUGGCAAGCGUUGUCCGGAUUUACUGGGCGUAAAGAGCGCGCAGGCGGUUGAUUAAGUCGAAUGUGAAAGCCCCCGGCUCAACUGGGGAGGGUCACGCGAUACUGUUCGACUCGAAGGCAGGAGAGGGUAGUGGAAUUCCCGGUGUAGUGGUGAAAUGCGUAGAUAUCGGGAGGAACACCAGUGGCGAAGGCGACUACCUGGCCUGUUCUUGACGCUGAGGCGCGAAAGCUAGGGUAGCAAACGGG